RNAcentral lists this ribosomal RNA (332 nucleotides) under uncultured bacterium. Its description in RNAcentral is "bacterial SSU rRNA". It matches the Rfam family "Bacterial small subunit ribosomal RNA", at positions 568 to 898 of the family's 1533-position model. The record is from RNAcentral.
UGCGCAGGCGGCUGAGUGUGUCAGGUGUGAAGGCCCGAGGCUUAACCUCGGAAUUGCGCCUGAAACUGCUCGGCUAGAGGACUGGAGAGGGUAGCGGAAUUCACGGUGUAGCAGUGAAAUGCGUAGAUAUCGUGAGGAACACCAGAGGCGAAGGCGGCUACCUGGACAGUACCUGACGCUCAGGCACGAAAGCGUGGGGAGCAAAAGGGAUUAGAUACCCCUGUAGUCCACGCCCUAAACGGUGCACACUAGGUCUUGGCGGAUUCGACCCCUCCAGGGCCCAAGCUAACGCGUUAAGUGUGCCGCCUGAGGACUACGGCCGCAAGGCUAAA